RNAcentral lists this ribosomal RNA (1203 nucleotides) under Pseudoalteromonas sp. 1-Cc-11. RNAcentral's name for it is "bacterial SSU rRNA". It matches the Rfam family "Bacterial small subunit ribosomal RNA", at positions 104 to 1304 of the family's 1533-position model. Lineage: Bacteria; Pseudomonadati; Pseudomonadota; Gammaproteobacteria; Alteromonadales; Pseudoalteromonadaceae. The record is from RNAcentral.
GGGUGAGUAAUGCUUGGGAAUAUGCCUUUUGGUGGGGGACAACAGUUGGAAACGACUGCUAAUACCGCAUAACGUCUACGGACCAAAGUGGGGGACCUUCGGGCCUCACGCCAAGAGAUUAGCCCAAGUGGGAUUAGCUAGUUGGUAAGGUAAUGGCUUACCAAGGCAACGAUCCCUAGCUGGUUUGAGAGGAUGAUCAGCCACACUGGAACUGAGACACGGUCCAGACUCCUACGGGAGGCAGCAGUGGGGAAUAUUGCACAAUGGGCGCAAGCCUGAUGCAGCCAUGCCGCGUGUGUGAAGAAGGCCUUCGGGUUGUAAAGCACUUUCAGUCAGGAGGAAAGGUUAGUAGUUAAUAGCUACUAGCUGUGACGUUACUGACAGAAGAAGCACCGGCUAACUCCGUGCCAGCAGCCGCGGUAAUACGGAGGGUGCGAGCGUUAAUCGGAAUUACUGGGCGUAAAGCGUACGCAGGCGGUUUGUUAAGCGAGAUGUGAAAGCCCCGGGCUCAACCUGGGAACUGCAUUUCGAACUGGCAGACUAGAGUGUGAUAGAGGGUGGUAGAAUUUCAGGUGUAGCGGUGAAAUGCGUAGAGAUCUGAAGGAAUACCGAUGGCGAAGGCAGCCACCUGGGUCAACACUGACGCUCAUGUACGAAAGCGUGGGGAGCAAACGGGAUUAGAUACCCCGGUAGUCCACGCCGUAAACGAUGUCUACUAGAAGCUGGGGUCUUCGGACAACUUUUUCAAAGCUAACGCAUUAAGUAGACCGCCUGGGGAGUACGGCCGCAAGGUUAAAACUCAAAUGAAUUGACGGGGGCCCGCACAAGCGGUGGAGCAUGUGGUUUAAUUCGAUGCAACGCGAAGAACCUUACCUACACUUGACAUACAGAGAACUUACCAGAGAUAGUUUGGUGCCUUCGGGAACUCUGAUACAGGUGCUGCAUGGCUGUCGUCAGCUCGUGUUGUGAGAUGUUGGGUUAAGUCCCGCAACGAGCGCAACCCCUAUCCUUAGUUGCCAGCACAUAAUGGUGGGAACUCUAAGGAGACUGCCGGUGAUAAACCGGAGGAAGGUGGGGACGACGUCAAGUCAUCAUGGCCCUUACGUGUAGGGCUACACACGUGCUACAAUGGCGCAUACAGAGUGCUGCGAGCCUGCGAAGGUUAGCGAAUCACUUAAAGUGCGUCGUAGUCCGGAUUGGAGU